CAACAACGGAUCUCUUGGUUCUGGCAUCGAUGAAGAACGCAGCAAAAUGCGAUAAGUAAUGUGAAUUGCAGAAUUCAGUGAAUCAUCGAAUCUUUGAACGCACAUUGCGCCCGCCAGUAUUCUGGCGGGCAUGCCUGUUCGAGCGUCAUU
Molecule: ribosomal RNA, 150 nt
Filed under: Fusarium sacchari
Lineage: Eukaryota; Fungi; Ascomycota; Sordariomycetes; Hypocreales; Nectriaceae
Description: 5.8S ribosomal RNA
Rfam family: 5.8S ribosomal RNA
About the family: 5.8S ribosomal RNA (5.8S rRNA) is a component of the large subunit of the eukaryotic ribosome. It is transcribed by RNA polymerase I as part of the 45S precursor that also contains 18S and 28S rRNA. Functionally, it is thought that 5.8S rRNA may be involved in ribosome translocation.
Source: RNAcentral